RNAcentral lists this ribosomal RNA (207 nucleotides) under uncultured bacterium. Its description in RNAcentral is "partial 16S ribosomal RNA". It matches the Rfam family "Bacterial small subunit ribosomal RNA", at positions 568 to 774 of the family's 1533-position model. The record is from RNAcentral.
AGCGUAGACGGCAAGGCAAGUCUGAAGUGAAAGCCCGGUGCUUAACGCCGGGACUGCUUUGGAAACUGUUUAGCUGGAGUGCCGGAGAGGUAAGCGGAAUUCCUAGUGUAGCGGUGAAAUGCGUAGAUAUUAGGAAGAACACCAGUGGCGAAGGCGGCUUACUGGACGGUAACUGACGUUGAGGCUCGAAAGCGUGGGGAGCAAACA